AGUGGAUGGGGAGCAACCUAGUUGUGCGUGUGUAAAGGUAGUGCCAAGAAAAGCGAUGAUCAUGUUGAAAAUCAAUUCCCGGUACCCGAAACCGACACAGGUGGGCAAGUAGAGAAUACUAAGGGGCGCGAGGUAACUCUCUCCAAGGAACUCGGCAAAAUGACCCCGUAACUUAGGGAGAAGGGGUGCCACCGAGAGGUGGUCGCAGUGAAGAGGCCCAGGCGACUGUUUAGCAAAAACAUAGGUCUCUGCAAACUCGAAAGAGGAGGUAUAGGGGCUGACGCCUGCCCAGUGCCGGAAGGUUAAAGAAGUUGGUCAGUCUUAGGAUGAAGCUAGCGACUGAAGCCCCGGUGAACGGCGGCCGUAACUAUAACGGUCCUAAGGUAGCGAAAUUCCUUGUCGGGUAAGUUCCGACCCGCACGAAAGGCGUAACGAUCUGGGCGCUGUCUCGGAGAGAGGCUCGGCGAAAUAGGAUUGUCUGUGAAGAUACGGACUACCUGCAUUUGGACAGAAAGACCCUAUGAAGCUUUACUAUAGCUUGGAAUUGUGUUCGGGCUUCCUGUGCGCAGGAUAGGUGGGAGGCGUAGAAGGUAUUCUUGUGGGGAUACUGGAGCCAACGGUGAGAUACCACUCUCAGGAGGCUAGAAUUCUAACUUAAUUAAGGACAGUUUCAGGUGGGUAGUUUGACUGGGGCGGUCGCCUCCAAAAAGGUAACGGAGGCGUACAAAGGUUCCCUCAGACUGGUUGGAAAUCAGUCGAAGAGUGCAAAGGCAGAAGGGAGCUUGACUGCGAGAAGUACAGUUCGAGCAGGGUGGAAACACGGUCUUAGUGAUCCGACGGUGCUGUGUGGAAGGGCCGUCGCUCAACGGGUAAAAGUUACUCUAGGAUAACAGGCUGAUCUCCCCCAAGAGUUCACAUCGACGGGGAGGUUUGGCACCUCGAUGUCGGCUCAUCGCAACCUGGGGCGGAAGUACGUCCCAAGGGUUGGGCGGUUCGCCCAUUAAAGCGGUACGUGAGCUGGGUUCAGAACGUCGUGAGACAGUUCGGUCCAUAUCCGAUGUAGGCGUGAGAAUAUUGAGAGGAGCCUUCCUUAGUACGAGAGGACCGGGAAGGACGCACCGCUGGUGUACCUGUUAUGAUGCCAAUUGUAAACGCAGGGUAGCCAAGUGCGGAGAGGAUAACCGCUGAAAGCAUCUAAGUGGGAAGCCCACCUCAAGAUGAGUAUUCUGGUGUAAGGUCACGGGAAGACGACCCGUAAAUAGGCACGAGGUGGAAGUGCAGAGAUGUAUGAAGCCGAAGUGUACUAAUAGACCGUCGGCUUGAC
Molecule: ribosomal RNA, 1324 nt
Filed under: metagenome
Description: bacterial LSU rRNA
Rfam family: Bacterial large subunit ribosomal RNA
Source: RNAcentral